RNAcentral lists this ribosomal RNA (460 nucleotides) under uncultured bacterium. Its description in RNAcentral is "partial 16S ribosomal RNA". It matches the Rfam family "Bacterial small subunit ribosomal RNA", at positions 338 to 795 of the family's 1533-position model. The record is from RNAcentral.
CCUACGGGAGGCAGCAGUGAGGAAUAUUGGUCAAUGGGCGGGAGCCUGAACCAGCCAAGUCGCGUGAGGGAAGACGGUCCUAUGGAUUGUAAACCUCUUUAGGCGGGGAGCAAUGCCGGGCACGUGUGCCCGGAGGGAGAGUACCCGCAGAAUAAGCAUCGGCUAACUCCGUGCCAGCAGCCGCGGUAAUACGGAGGAUGCGAGCGUUAUCCGGAUGUAUUGGGUUAAAAGGGUGCGUAGGCGGAUUUUAAAGUCAGCGGUAAAAUGUCCGGGCUCAACCCGGGCCGGCCGUUGAAACUGGGGAUCUUGAGUGGGCGAGAGGUAUGCGGAAUGCGUGGUGUAGCGGUGAAAUGCAUAGAUAUCACGCAGAACUCCGAUUGCGAAGGCAGCAUACCGGCGCCCGACUGACGCUGAGGCACGAAAGCGUGGGGAUCGAACAGGAUUAGAUACCCCUGUAGUC